UACAAAGUUAAAUUUAUGCCCGUGUAGUGACUCUGUACCUUCUUUCCAGCCUAGGCCAGGGGCUGUCAAACUCAGUCCUGGAAGACGUUCUGUGCUUGCUGCGUCUCUUCAGUUAAGGUUGCACGUCCAGAAAAUGAAAAUAACGUCUGACAAGCUAUGCCUGCAAAUGGACAGAAAUCUUCUGGCCUCAUCCUGGGAUGCUGCAGUCAUCUGCUGUCUACAAAGCAAAACAGACAAAAUUACCAACAGUGAAUACGUAUGAUAAAUGCAUGAGGACCGAACCAGCUCCCAUCAAAGUGCUGGACCAUGGUAAAGGAAGUGUUAUAAAAUUCCAUUCCUUUCCAUUCCAUGUUUUGGAAUUUUUGUAUCGCUUUUCCCAUAAUGACAGGGUUCGAUAGGGGCUGAAGACUUACCUAGUUCAUUUGUUAUUGUGGAGUCGCAGUCUUUAAUUUUAAUUUUCCCUCUUAAUUAUGGCACUCUAUUCUUUGUGGCUUUUUUUACUAUGCAUUCGUUCCUUGCUUUUAUUUGUUUCAUUCAUUUUUUUUAAAUGUCAGCUUUGUACAUUGGCAAAAAGACUGAAAUGAGUAGAUAUAAUUAUGAGGAUGAUGAUGAUGAUAAUAAUGAUAAUAAUAAUGUAUGCAAUACAUGCAGAGCCACUAUGAAGAAUACAUUGAAAUACAUUUAGUGAAACCUGCCGAUAAUGAUAAAAACAAAGAACUUGUUCAGUGCUGGUAAUUCAGGAAUGCUGAAAGUGCUGAGAGAGUUUACAGUUGUUUUUCAGGAGACACACAAGAACAGCAUUAAAAAGACAGAAUGAAAACUUGUAGAGAGACCUCAACAGAUCAUUGUAUUCAACCAAAAAAAUAAAACCCCACCGCUUACGGAAUGGACUUGUGAUCUUUUCCUGUCUGGGUGGGGAAAUUUGGUGCAGAUUUAUUUCAUGAUAUAUAACAGCGAGGAACAGUAUCUUAAUAUAAGUAACCGGAAACAACCAGUUGUAAUGUGGCCAUGAUAUGUGCAGUGCUCUCCGGCUGCAUCUGAAACACUUAGUAUCUAAAUUUUGGAACAAGGUGCUUUUCCAGUGUAAUCAGGGUCUUUCCAGAUUCUUCGCGUAAUACCUCAUGCUCUGGACACCUGUUAUCUGCUAGCGACAGUUGCUAAGCCCUGCCGCACAGUGACCGAAACUGCCCACCUGAUGCACAGCGGCGCGGAAUAUAGUGGCGGCUGGAUGAACUCAUUUCAGUAGACGUGCCCCCCUGACAGGAAGGCACGCUUUUUUGGUUCUUAGAUCGAAAGAUAGUUCAUCAAUGAGUAAAAUUAUUUUUUUUCUUUUCACUGUCGGCACCAAAACAGCAAAGAUUGACACUGACAUACCAACACGGCAACAUAGCAGAAACAUUUAGUGAAGACAGUGAACUGAUGCCACACUGAAAUCACAGUGGGAGAGAAGUGUUUAUGUAUGGCAGAGGGUACAAAACAGUAUAAUUUUGCGGAAUUGGUUUUGGAUUUGAGUCAUUGGAUCAUGUGACUUGGAAGCUAUUGAAAAAUAUGUUUGUUUUUUUUUGCUAUUUAUUUGCAGUACUUAACCAAGCGCCCCCGCCACUGCCAGCGCUGAAGCGUUGUUAGCUAGCCCAUCAUCGAACUACUAAAUUGGCUGCGAUAAUUAAUGCACCACCGAGUUCGAAAUGUCUACUCGAAUGUCCAACUUCAAGCUGAUUUCGCCGCGGUGAAAUGCCGAAAUAUCUCAAGUACGAUCGUUUCGCGAUUUAGCAUAAGAACCACGUAAAAUAAUCCUUCAUAUUUAGUCGCAAUUGUAAAUCUUUUGUAAUUAUGUGCGCUCGCUCAAUGUACACAGGUUUACGUAUGACCGAUGACGUUUGUACUGAUUUGGACACGAUUUUUGCAAUGAUCUUGACAAACGCUCAAGCGGAACUCUCUUCCACAAUGUUGACAGUUACCAUAAAUAAUUAUUAUUGUUGACGCUCUAUUGGCCGUCCACGUAAAAAAAAAAAAAAAAAAAGCCACAGAAAAUGAUGGUAGAGCGCUACAGUUAAUUUGUCCAUUUUGCGCGACGCUGAAAAAAUUACCUCAAAUUAUAAUCAUUACGUGUUAGCGUGUAGCCCCCCAGGUGGGUAUAAUCGUUAUGUGUAGCACCCCAGGUGGGUGCUACACAUUGGUGGUGGGUGAGGUGAGUUCCCCUUCAUCACUGUAAAGCACUUUGAGCGUUCGGAAAAGUGCUAUAUUAAAUGCAAUGAUUCAUUCAUUAAUUCAUUACAAUUUUAGGAAUUCUUAUUAUGGUUUAACCAGCCUAUAGUUAGGUUUACAUCAUCUACAGUAGUGCAAAAAUAUAUAUAUUUUACCAAGAAUGACUGAACCAAUUAUUUUCAGCAGGCUAUUUAAGGGCGUAUAUGGUUUUAUUGCAUGAAAAUAUGUGUACAACUUUGCAAAAGAAUCGUUUAAUACAAAGGAAAGUGUUGGCUGCGUACAAAAAGCGUGGACAUCAGACUACAGAGCAUAAAUGUUACACAAUUUCCUUGAAAUGAAAUCAUAUUUAGAAUAUGUUCUUAUUUAAAACAAUGUAUAGUUGCAAGUUAAAGAAAAUACCUGCGAUCUAUACCGGUGCUAAAAUGGCACAUGUCCUGUUAAAAUCUGUCAACAGCUGUAUCUCUGAAAAGAAAUAAAACGGCAUGGGAAUACGAAAAUGAGAAAUCUUAGCUGUCGGAUAUAAUUUCAUACGCCGCAGCGCGAGCCGGGGCUUAAAGGCCAGGCUUACCUUCGUAGGGUGAUCUCUGUUUACGGCAGUAGAGCAGCUGUGUGCGCGCGUGCGUGCGGGUUGAGUUCUAUCUAUUCACUUGAACGUUAAUGAGAGACAUGCACCUGCUUUUCCUUGUAGAUUUCGCUCUCUCCUGCUUUCUUUCUUAUAGUGAAAAGAACAGUGACACGCAUAGUAAGUGUUCCCCUAUUUGUUGUUUUUGUGGUUUCUUCACUGUGUGAUUUAUGGAGUCAGCACUCAAGAUAUAUCGCAGGGUGGAGACCUGAAACGUUUUGCCCAACGGAGAUGCGAUUGGGUGUGACUUGUUGGCAUAGAUUUCUUUUUUUUUUUUUAAAUGUCUUUGUGGGUUUGAGUUACUGUGCAGAUAUGGUACAGCAAAGUAUUUAGAAGAUAGGUGACAGCAGUUUUGGAAGGUUAGCAAAAGGCACUAGAAUAUGGCGUUUUCAGUCUACUUUAGUGCAAUGUUUUGUACAUAAUAAUAAUAAUCAUAAUAAUAAUGUUUAAUUUCACUGUGACACCUUUGACAGAGAACACACAAUGACCUGAACUGAUUACAUUUGAACAACUAGGCUUACUUAGGACAAAAUAGUGCCUUUUAGAACAUGGUCAUCCUCCAAAACUAGUAAUACAUUUUAAAAAUGUGUCUUUUUGAUGUGAUUUAAUUGCACAACAAAUUUAUCGCCAAUUUAUAUAUGUAGCUCCAACAAGAAUUGACUGGUUGAAAUUAAAUAAAACCACAUACAUCCAACAUAUUUGAAGUACAGAGCUGUUAGCAUAAAAUGGAUGAUUUGGCCUACUGAAAUUCAAGCAGGUUAUCUAGUCAUUAUGAACCAAAACAAUUACUGAGUGCUCAUAUUUAGAAAAAAAAGUAUAAGAAAAGAUCAUCAAGCUCCAGAGACCAAGAAAGACAACAAGGUGCUCAUUGAACCAAAGGGCAAAGACCAAGGGAGUGUCGGCAGUGCAGUACAAUGGGUAAGGAACUGGUCUUGUAACCUAAUGGGCACAGGUUCGCUUCCUGGGUCGUUCACUGCUGUUGCUUCAGUAUACACUCACCGGCCACUACAUUAGGUACACCUUUUCAACUGCAAACUGCACCCGUUAAUGCAAAUAUGCAAAGUUCAGACCAAGCAUCAGAAUGGGGAAGAAAUGUGAUUUAAGUGACUUUGAACGAGGCAUGGUUGUUGGUGCCAGACGGGCUGGUUUGAGUAAUUCAGAAACUGCUGAUCUACUGGGAUUUUCAUGCACAACCAUCUCUAGGGUUUACAGAGAAUGGUCUGAAAAAGAGAAAAUAUCCAGUGAGCGGCAGUUCUCUGGGCGAAAAUGCCUUGUUGAUGGCAGAGGUCAGAGGAGAAUGGCCAUACUGGUUCGAGCUGAUAGAAAGGCAACAGUAACUCAAAUAACCACUCGUUACAACCAAGGUAUGCAGAAGAGCAUCUCUGAACACACACCACGUCAAACCUUGAAGCAGAUGGGCUACAGCAGCAGAAGACCAGACCGGGUACCACUCCUGUCACCUAAUGAAGUGGCCGGUGAGUGUAUAUCUAUCUGUAUAAAUGGAUGCAAUGUAAAUGCUAUGCUAUGUUUAUAAAAAAAUAAAAAAAUGUAAAAAAGUCUAAUAAGAGCGUCUGAUAAAUGCUUGUAAUGUGAUGUGUGUUCUCCAUUUUCUCCUCUCUCCUCAGCACUCCUCCUUCCCCACCUCAGUCCUCCCUCGCUGCAGAUGACUUCGCAGUUUUCUUCGAUGAGAAAAUUGCAGACAUCCGCAGCUCCUUCACGUCCACCGCCACCCUUCCCCACUCUCCUGUCUCUGUUCCCUCCCCUUGUUUCUCCACUUUCUCUCCCCUCACUGACUCUGAUGUUUCCCAGCUCCUACUCUCCCACCGCCCUACCACCGCUCUUGACCCCAUCCCUUCCUCUCUCCUCCAGACUUUCACACCUGACAUCCUCCCGUUUGUCACCUCCCUUGUGAACUCCUCCUUGUCUUCUGGAUGUUUCCCCUCUUCCUUCAAGCUGGCCCACAUCACCCCACUGCUGAAAAAGCCCACUCUGGAUCCCUCUGUCAUUCAGAACUACCGUCCUGUUUCCCUUCUCCCUUUCCUAUCCAAAACAAUUGAACGAGCUGCUUCUAACCAACUCUCCUCUUUUCUCUUACUAAACAACCUCCUGGACCCCCACCAGUCCGGCUUCAGACCUGGCCACUCAACAGAGACCGCACUCAUCUCGGUCAGUGAGUCGCUACACGCCGCACAAGCAGCCUCCCAUUCAUCUGUCCUGAUCCUCCUAGACCUUUCUGCUGCCUUCGACACAGUCAACCACCCCAUCCUCCUGUCCUCCCUGGCAGCUAUGGGGAUCUGUGGCACAGCACUAGACUGGAUCGAGUCCUUCCAAGUCGCCUGGGCUGGUGCAGUAUCGGCACCUCGCCCCCUUGCCACAGGAGUUCCCCAGGGCUCAGUCCUUGGUCCCCUCCUAUUCUCCUUGUACACCCAAUCUCUUGGUCCUGUAAUCUCUGCCCAUGGGUUGUCCUAUCAUUGUUAUGGCGAUGACACCCAACUCUUCCUCUCCUUCCCCCCCUCUGACACACAGGUCUCCGCUCGCAUCUCUGCUUGCCUGAGGGACAUCCAGAGCUGGAUGGAUAACCACCAUCUUAAGCUGAACCCAGGUAAGACAGAGAUGAUCUUCAUCCCUGCUCCAUCCUCUAACCUCCUUGACUUUCCAUUUCCUAGGGUGAAGCACCGUGGGGUGUUCAUCAUCACCCACCGCAAAAAACCUUGGAGUGGUGAUGGACAACAGACUGUCCCUCUCCCAGAACAUCACGGCGGUGAGUCGAACGUGCAGGUUCUUCCUGUAUAACAUCCGGAGAAUCCGCCCCUUCCUCACCACCUACGCAACCCAGCUCCUGGUUCAAGCGAUGGUCCUGUCCCGCCUGGACUACUGCAACUCGCUGCUGGCUGGUCUGCCAGCAUCCGCCAUCAGACCCCAGCAGCUCAUCCAGAAUGCUUCAGCGCGUCUGGUCUACAACCUCCCCAGACAUUCCCAUGUCACCUCCCUGCUCACUGACCUCCACUGGCUGCCUGUUAUGGCUCGCAUCAAAUUUAAGACGUUGGUGCUUGCAUACCAGGCAGUUAAGGGGUCAGCACCAGGAUGCAUCCAGAGGAUCAUCAGACCCUACACACCAGCCACACCUCUCCGUUCUGCCACCUCUGGACGCUUGGCACCUCCCCCUCUUCGCGUCUGUACUUCCCGCUCCCGUCUGCUGUCUGUCCUGGCCCCUCGCUGGUGAAAUGACCUCCCCAUGGCGGUCAGAACAGCAGAGAAUCUGACUACCUUCAAACGCAGACUAAAGACUCAUCUCUUCAGGCCGCACCUCUCCCCACCCCUCCCUAGCCUAUAGUUUAGUUCAAAUGUACCUAGUUAGGAUAAUAAGAUUGUUAGUUUUUAUUUGGCAGGAUUGUUUUUGUUUUUUGUCUGAUUCUGAUUAGAGAAGGAAAAAAUACCAUAUUUAGAAAAUAACUACCAUGAAUUCAGUGAAAAUG
Anguilla rostrata (American eel) is the source of this 6303-nucleotide long non-coding RNA. RefSeq lists it as uncharacterized. The record is from RefSeq and is a predicted model, not a curated record. The transcript has 3 exons. NCBI's taxonomy places the organism in Eukaryota, Metazoa, Chordata, Actinopteri, Anguilliformes, Anguillidae.